UUCCCCAGUAAUGGCGAAUGAACAGGGAUUAGCUCAGCAUUGAUAUUACGGCCCCUGGCCUUGAAUUGUAGUCUUGAGAUGUGCCGCCAAUGGAGGUGUAGAUGUAAGCCUUUUGGAAAAGAGCAGCGGAGAGGGUGAGACUCCUGUCUGUCAUCUACGGUCCGCCAUGUAUGGUGUACACUCUAAGAGUCACGUUCCUCGGGAUUGGAGCGCAAAGCGGGUGGUAAAUUUCAUCUACAGCUAUGUAUAGAUUCGAGACCGAUAGCAAACAAGUACCAUGAGGGAAAGAUGAAAAGGACUUUGAAAAGAGAGUUAAAAGUGCCUGAAAUUGCUGGAAGGGAAGCGACUUGAACCAGCCUCUGAGAGCAAGAUUGCUUAGUGUGAAAGUGAUGUCCUGCUGUGUGAGUGUAAGCCAUGCAGUGGGACGGAAACUGUCUGCGCUGGGUGUUUCUUGUUUUCGGUGUCAACAAAAGUUCAUGAGCAUGGAAGACUCCAAAGACAUGGGGGCAAACUUUCGGGUGAGCGAAUGUGUUUGGCGGAACCAGCUCAUGAUCAUAGUUUGUUGUGUCUGCUUUCUGCUCUGCCCGUUGUCCUUAUCUGUUGGACCAGUGUAGCAGCUAUUGACACCACC
Molecule: ribosomal RNA, 631 nt
Filed under: Gymnodinium impatiens
Lineage: Eukaryota; Dinophyceae; Gymnodiniales; Gymnodiniaceae
Description: LSU rRNA
Rfam family: Eukaryotic large subunit ribosomal RNA
Source: RNAcentral